Acomys russatus (golden spiny mouse) is the source of this 393-nucleotide long non-coding RNA. RefSeq lists it as uncharacterized. The transcript is spliced from 4 exons. The record is from RefSeq and is a predicted model, not a curated record. NCBI's taxonomy places the organism in Eukaryota, Metazoa, Chordata, Mammalia, Rodentia, Muridae.
AGGUGGCAGCAGCGGGGCCCACACAGUCUGCAGGCUAACAGCACAGGUGGCAGCAGUGGGGCCCACACAGUCUGCAGGCUAACAGCACAGGUGGCAGCAGUGGGGCCCACACAUCUGCAGGCUAACAGCACAGGUGGCAGCAGUGGGGCCCACACAUCUGCAGGCUAACAGCACAGGUGGCAGCAGUGGGGCCCACACAGUCUGCAGGCUAACAGCACAGGUGGCGGCAGUGGGGCCCACACAUCUGCAGGCUAACAGCACAGGUGGCAGCAGUGGGGCCCACACAGUCUGCAGGCUAACAGCACAGGUGACAACAAUACUGAGCAAAAGCUAUAUUGUAUUGGUUACUGUGCUCCUAGUUUGUGAUGAAAAGAAAUAUAUCAAAGAGAUGGA